RNAcentral lists this ribosomal RNA (2392 nucleotides) under Escherichia coli. Its description in RNAcentral is "partial 23S ribosomal RNA". It matches the Rfam family "Bacterial large subunit ribosomal RNA", at positions 553 to 2925 of the family's 2925-position model. The record is from RNAcentral. Lineage: Bacteria; Pseudomonadati; Pseudomonadota; Gammaproteobacteria; Enterobacterales; Enterobacteriaceae.
AAACCGUGUACGUACAAGCAGUGGGAGCCUCUUUAUGGGGUGACUGCGUACCUUUUGUAUAAUGGGUCAGCGACUUAUAUUCUGUAGCAAGGUUAACCGAAUAGGGGAGCCGAAGGGAAACCGAGUCUUAACUGGGCGUUAAGUUGCAGGGUAUAGACCCGAAACCCGGUGAUCUAGCCAUGGGCAGGUUGAAGGUUGGGUAACACUAACUGGAGGACCGAACCGACUAAUGUUGAAAAAUUAGCGGAUGACUUGUGGCUGGGGGUGAAAGGCCAAUCAAACCGGGAGAUAGCUGGUUCUCCCCGAAAGCUAUUUAGGUAGCGCCUCGUGAAUUCAUCUCCGGGGGUAGAGCACUGUUUCGGCAAGGGGGUCAUCCCGACUUACCAACCCGAUGCAAACUGCGAAUACCGGAGAAUGUUAUCACGGGAGACACACGGCGGGUGCUAACGUCCGUCGUGAAGAGGGAAACAACCCAGACCGCCAGCUAAGGUCCCAAAGUCAUGGUUAAGUGGGAAACGAUGUGGGAAGGCCCAGACAGCCAGGAUGUUGGCUUAGAAGCAGCCAUCAUUUAAAGAAAGCGUAAUAGCUCACUGGUCGAGUCGGCCUGCGCGGAAGAUGUAACGGGGCUAAACCAUGCACCGAAGCUGCGGCAGCGACACUAUGUGUUGUUGGGUAGGGGAGCGUUCUGUAAGCCUGUGAAGGUGGCCUGUGAGGGUUGCUGGAGGUAUCAGAAGUGCGAAUGCUGACAUAAGUAACGAUAAAGCGGGUGAAAAGCCCGCUCGCCGGAAGACCAAGGGUUCCUGUCCAACGUUAAUCGGGGCAGGGUGAGUCGACCCCUAAGGCGAGGCCGAAAGGCGUAGUCGAUGGGAAACAGGUUAAUAUUCCUGUACUUGGUGUUACUGCGAAGGGGGGACGGAGAAGGCUAUGUUGGCCGGGCGACGGUUGUCCCGGUUUAAGCGUGUAGGCUGGUUUUCCAGGCAAAUCCGGAAAACCAAGGCUGAGGCGUGAUGACGAGGCACUACGGUGCUGAAGCGACAAAUGCCCUGCUUCCAGGAAAAGCCUCUAAGCAUCAGGUAACAUCAAAUCGUACCCCAAACCGACACAGGUGGUCAGGUAGAGAAUACCAAGGCGCUUGAGAGAACUCGGGUGAAGGAACUAGGCAAAAUGGUGCCGUAACUUCGGGAGAAGGCACGCUGAUAUGUAGGUGAAGCGACUUGCUCGUGGAGCUGAAAUCAGUCGAAGAUACCAGCUGGCUGCAACUGUUUAUUAAAAACACAGCACUGUGCAAACACGAAAGUGGACGUAUACGGUGUGACGCCUGCCCGGUGCCGGAAGGUUAAUUGAUGGGGUUAGCGGUAACGCGAAGCUCUUGAUCGAAGCCCCGGUAAACGGCGGCCGUAACUAUAACGGUCCUAAGGUAGCGAAAUUCCUUGUCGGGUAAGUUCCGACCUGCACGAAUGGCGUAAUGAUGGCCAGGCUGUCUCCACCCGAGACUCAGUGAAAUUGAACUCGCUGUGAAGAUGCAGUGUACCCGCGGCAAGACGGAAAGACCCCGUGAACCUUUACUAUAGCUUGACACUGAACAUUGAGCCUUGAUGUGUAGGAUAGGUGGGAGGCUUUGAAGUGUGGACGCCAGUCUGCAUGGAGCCGACCUUGAAAUACCACCCUUUAAUGUUUGAUGUUCUAACGUUGGCCCGUAAUCCGGGUUGCGGACAGUGUCUGGUGGGUAGUUUGACUGGGGCGGUCUCCUCCUAAAGAGUAACGGAGGAGCACGAAGGUUGGCUAAUCCUGGUCGGACAUCAGGAGGUUAGUGCAAUGGCAUAAGCCAGCUUGACUGCGAGCGUGACGGCGCGAGCAGGUGCGAAAGCAGGUCAUAGUGAUCCGGUGGUUCUGAAUGGAAGGGCCAUCGCUCAACGGAUAAAAGGUACUCCGGGGAUAACAGGCUGAUACCGCCCAAGAGUUCAUAUCGACGGCGGUGUUUGGCACCUCGAUGUCGGCUCAUCACAUCCUGGGGCUGAAGUAGGUCCCAAGGGUAUGGCUGUUCGCCAUUUAAAGUGGUACGCGAGCUGGGUUUAGAACGUCGUGAGACAGUUCGGUCCCUAUCUGCCGUGGGCGCUGGAGAACUGAGGGGGGCUGCUCCUAGUACGAGAGGACCGGAGUGGACGCAUCACUGGUGUUCGGGUUGUCAUGCCAAUGGCACUGCCCGGUAGCUAAAUGCGGAAGAGAUAAGUGCUGAAAGCAUCUAAGCACGAAACUUGCCCCGAGAUGAGUUCUCCCUGACUCCUUGAGAGUCCUGAAGGAACGUUGAAGACGACGACGUUGAUAGGCCGGGUGUGUAAGCGCAGCGAUGCGUUGAGCUAACCGGUACUAAUGAACCGUGAGGCUUAACCUU